Molecule: unclassified non-coding RNA, 26 nt
Filed under: Mus musculus (house mouse)
Lineage: Eukaryota; Metazoa; Chordata; Mammalia; Rodentia; Muridae
Description: oocyte_clustered_small_RNA6132
Source: RNAcentral
UGGGAGCCGGGUGAGCCAAGUAGGAU